CACCAACAUUUAACUUCCCAUUUUCAAGUUGCAGCAAUCUCGUAAGUUCCUCAUGUAAGUAGGUUCAUACAGAUGUGUCCUUUUGCAGACAGUGGCUGUUUAAGUCAGAAGGCAAGGAGGAAGAGAAACAGCCACAGAAGUUGGCAAGGCCUGGCAGGAUGGAGAAUCCGGAGUUAUUGCUUAAUGGACACAGAGUUUCUGUCUGGAUGAUGAAAAAGUUCUGGAGAGAGAUUGUAGUUAUAGUUGCACAAUGCUGUAAAUGUACUUAAUGCCAAUGAAUUAUACACUGAAAAAUGGUUAUGAUAAUACAUUUUGUUAUAUUUUACCACAAAUAAAA
This 337-nucleotide long non-coding RNA is filed under the name Homo sapiens (human). RNAcentral describes it as "HSALNT0335573". Lineage: Eukaryota; Metazoa; Chordata; Mammalia; Primates; Hominidae. The record is from RNAcentral.